This 590-nucleotide ribosomal RNA is filed under the name uncultured bacterium. RNAcentral's name for it is "bacterial SSU rRNA". It matches the Rfam family "Bacterial small subunit ribosomal RNA", at positions 9 to 611 of the family's 1533-position model. The record is from RNAcentral.
GAGUUUGAACCUGGCUCAGGAUGAACGCUGGCGGCGUGCCUAAUACAUGCAAGUCGAGCGAACCACUUCGGUGGUGAGCGGCGAACGGGUGAGUAACACGUAGGUGAUCUGCCCAUCAGACGGGGACAACGAUUGGAAACGAUCGCUAAUACCGGAUAGGACGAAAGUUUAAAGGUGCUUCUGGCACCGCUGAUGGAUGAGCCUGCGGCGCAUUAGCUAGUUGGUAGGGUAAAGGCCUACCAAGGCGACGAUGCGUAGCCGACCUGAGAGGGUGAACGGCCACACUGGGACUGAGACACGGCCCAGACUCCUACGGGAGGCAGCAGUAGGGAAUCUUCGGCAAUGGGCGAAAGCCUGACCGAGCAACGCCGCGUGAAUGAUGAAGGCCUUCGGGUUGUAAAAUUCUGUUAUAAGGGAAGAACGACUUUAGUAGGAAAUGGCUAGAGUGUGACGGUACCUUAUGAGAAAGCCACGGCUAACUACGUGCCAGCAGCCGCGGUAAUACGUAGGUGGCGAGCGUUAUCCGGAAUUAUUGGGCGUAAAGAGCGCGCAGGUGGUUGAUUAAGUCUGAUGUGAAAGCCCACGGCUUA